Molecule: ribosomal RNA, 1040 nt
Filed under: uncultured bacterium
Lineage: Bacteria
Description: bacterial SSU rRNA
Rfam family: Bacterial small subunit ribosomal RNA
Source: RNAcentral
CCUACGGGAGGCAGCAGUCGAGAAUUUUUCACAAUGGGGGAAACCCUGAUGGAGCGACGCCGCGUGGGGGAUGAAUGGCUUCGGCCCGUAAACCCCUGUCAUUUGCGAACAAACCUCUUUGCCUAACACGUGAAGAGCUGAUUGUAGCGAAAGAGGAAGGGACGGCUAACUCUGUGCCAGCAGCCGCGGUAAUACAGAGGUCCCAAGCGUUGUUCGGAUUCACUGGGCGUAAAGGGUGCGUAGGUGGUGGGGUAAGUCUGAUGUGAAAUCUCCGAGCUUAACUCGGAAAUGGCAUCGGAUACUAUUCUGCUAGAGGGCUGGAGAGGAGACUGGAAUUCUCGGUGUAGCAGUGAAAUGCGUAGAUAUCGAGAGGAACACCCGUGGCGAAGGCAAGUCUCUGGACAGCACCUGACACUGAGGCACGAAAGCUAGGGGAGCAAACAGGAUUAGAUACCCUGGUAGUCCUAGCCGUAAACGGUGCACAUUUGCUGUGGGCGGAAUCGACCCCGUCCGUGGCGUAGCAAACGCGUUAAAUGUGCCGCCUGGGAAGUACGGUCGCAAGAUUAAAACUCAAAGAAAUUGACGGGGGCCUGCACAAGCGGUGGAGUAUGUGGCUUAAUUCGAUGCAACGCGAAGAACCUUACCUGGCCUUGACAUGUAGUGGUAGAAGCCUGAAAGGGUGACGACCCCGCAAGGGGAGCUUACACAGGUGCUGCAUGGCUGUCGUCAGCUCGUGUCGUGAGAUGUUGGGUUAAGUCCCGCAACGAGCGCAACCCUUGUGUCCUGUUGCCACCCUUAGAGAGAGAGCACUCUGGACAGACUGCCUCGCUUAACGAAGGAGGAAGAGGGUGGGGGAUGGACGUCAAGUCAGUAAUGGCCCUUACGGCCAGGGCUGCACACGUACUACAUGCUCGGCACAGAGGAGCAGACCGCAGUGAGCAAUCCCAGAACCGGCUCAGUUCAGAUGUCGUCUGCACUCGACGACUGAGCUGGAUCGCUAGUAUGCGCAUCAGCUACGCCGCGGUGAAUACGUUCCGAAG